GACGAACGCUGGCGGCGUGCUUAACACAUGCAAGUCGAACGAAGUGGCGAACGGGUGAGUAACGCGUAAUCAACCUGCCCUUCAGAGGGGGACAACAGUUGGAAACGACUGCUAAUACCGCAUACUGAAGGAGGGGUUUGCGUGUGAUUAGCUAGUUGGAGGGGUAACGGCCCCCCAAGGCGAUGAUCUGUAGCCGGGCUGGGAUGAUGAACGGCCACAAUGGGACCUAGACACGGCCCAGACUCCCACGGGAGGCAGCGAGGGGGAUUCUUCCGCAAUGGACGAAAGUCUGACUGAGCAACGCCGCGGGAGUGAUGACGGCCUUCGGGUUGGAAAGCUAUGUUAAUCGGGGCGCGGGACCGGAAUAGAAAGCCACGGCUAACUACGUGCCAGCAGCCGCGGUAAUUC
This 408-nucleotide ribosomal RNA is filed under the name uncultured bacterium. Its description in RNAcentral is "partial 16S ribosomal RNA". It matches the Rfam family "Bacterial small subunit ribosomal RNA", at positions 28 to 526 of the family's 1533-position model. The record is from RNAcentral.